This 843-nucleotide ribosomal RNA is filed under the name uncultured Actinomycetes bacterium. RNAcentral's name for it is "bacterial SSU rRNA". It matches the Rfam family "Bacterial small subunit ribosomal RNA", at positions 59 to 887 of the family's 1533-position model. The record is from RNAcentral. Lineage: Bacteria; Bacillati; Actinomycetota; Actinomycetes.
AAGUCGAGCGAGAACCAGGGCUUCGGCCCCGGGGACAGCGGCGAACGGGUGAGUAACACGUGGAUAACCUGCCCUCGGCACCGGGAUAGCCCGGGGAAACCCGGAUUAAUACCGGAUGGCCCUUCCGGCUCACGAGCCGGUCGGAAAAGGUAGCUUCGGCCUCCGGCCGAGGAUGGGUCCGCGGCGGAUUAGCUUGUUGGUGGGGUAACGGCCUACCAAGGCUCCGAUCCGUAGCUGGUCUGAGAGGACGAUCAGCCACACUGGGACUGAGACACGGCCCAGACUCCUACGGGAGGCAGCAGUGGGGAAUCUUGCACAAUGGGCGAAAGCCUGAUGCAGCGACGCCGCGUGAGGGAGGAAGGCCUUCGGGUUGUAAACCUCUUUCAGGAGGGACGAAGCUACUCGGGUUAACAGCCCAGAGGGUGACGGUACCUCCAGAAGAAGCCCCGGCUAACUACGUGCCAGCAGCCGCGGUAAUACGUAGGGGGCAAGCGUUGUCCGGAUUUACUGGGCGUAAAGAGCGUGUAGGCGGCCAAACAGGUCCGUUGUGAAAACUGGAGGCUCAACCUCCAGACGUCGACGGAAACCGUGUGGCUAGAGUCCGGAAGAGGAGAGUGGAAUUCCUGGUGUAGCGGUGAAAUGCGCAGAUAUCAGGAAGAACACCAAUGGCGAAGGCAGCUCUCUGGGACGGUACUGACGCUGAGACGCGAAAGCGUGGGGAGCGAACAGGAUUAGAUACCCUGGUAGUCCACGCCGUAAACGAUGGGUGCUAGUUGUGGGGAGGUGUCGACUCCUUCCGUGCCGUAGCUAACGCAUUAAGCACCCCGCCUGGGGAGUACGGCC